Molecule: transfer RNA, 54 nt
Filed under: Pingus sinensis
Lineage: Eukaryota; Metazoa; Nematoda; Chromadorea; Rhabditida; Quimperiidae
Description: tRNA-Val
Source: RNAcentral
AAGAUCUUAGUUUAAUAAAAAUGUUUAGUUUACACCUAGAAGUUUUAGAUCUUU